CCCCCGAGGCUCGGGUCCGCGGUCGGAACUGCAGAGGGUAAUUGGAACAGGAUGUUAAUAAACCUGCGAGCGGCCAACUGAAUCCUGGAAAAGCAACCACAGGGAAAACCCACACCACGUGUAACACGCCAGAGACAAUUCAGAAACACGAAGUAUAUUUUGCGGGAAGGGUUGCAGUCCUUGAAGUCUAGAAAUAGAUGU
Equus caballus (horse) is the source of this 201-nucleotide non-coding RNA. The record is from Rfam. NCBI's taxonomy places the organism in Eukaryota, Metazoa, Chordata, Mammalia, Perissodactyla, Equidae.